This 8250-nucleotide long non-coding RNA is filed under the name Nicotiana tabacum (common tobacco). RNAcentral describes it as "long non-coding RNA (NTAB_LNC000403)". Lineage: Eukaryota; Viridiplantae; Streptophyta; Magnoliopsida; Solanales; Solanaceae. The record is from RNAcentral.
UAAAUUGCAUUAUAUACAUAAAUUUUUUCUUUGAUACCAAUGAAUUGCCCAUUUAGUUGUGUUACCCUUCAAGCAUCAAGAAUCUAAAGUUCACACAAAGAACUCAACUUUUGUAGUCACAUAAAAGGAAGAAAGGAGCAUCAAGAAUCUAAAGUUAAAAAAAAAAAUUAACUAUUUCAAAGACUGUGAAACACCUUCAGUAACUAAUAAAAACUUAGAUGUGUAGAGUUUAAUAAAAUAAAUAAAUCUAAAGUUCAGAACUUUAGAGUAAUUCAACAACGAAACAAUGGAAGUAGGUUACUGCAAAAAAGAGUAACAGUCAUUGCGUCUCUUACGUGAUCACUGAAGAGUUCAACAUUUCACUUUGAGGUAUCUCCGUCUCUUACUGAAGUCUUCAUCAUCUAUGUUAAAUCUGACUAUUCUUAAGGAGUCUCCAAACCUCUUAGUCCUCUUACUCAUCUCCUACUCUUUCUAUUCCCAGACAAAAAGAUAUUUUCAUGAAAAUUUCUUUCUUGAAGAGGCUGUCUUCCCGCAAGAUUGUGUCACUAAAGAUUUAACUUGUAAAGAGGCUUCAAUUGAAUGUCCAACUUAGGAAGUUCAUCUUCAUCCUCUAACUAAAAGUUGAGGACAACUUUCUAUAUUAAUCCACAUCGACCCACUGGUACACAGUUUAAAGAAGAAAAAAUAGAGUGACUCUGAUUUGAUACUGCAACAAUGAUUAAAAAGAGGAGUUAAGAAUGAAAAAUGAAAGGUGAUGAUUGAAAUUCCAAUAUAUCUUCAAGGGCAGGAUGAUCAACAAAUGUUGUUGCUAGGCAGAGAGCUAACCAUCAUCUUGUUGAAUGAAUCUUGCAGCAAAAAGGAUUUCCCUUUGUUUCUAUACCUUAUUUUCUCCCUGCACAAGGAAAAAGUAAAAAUCUAUUUCAAACUCAUAAAAGUUGCAUAUCAUCACCCUGCAAAUGCUUUAAGAAACGGAAGGAGAAUCCUUUAAAGUCAUGAGGCUUGAAAGAGAAAACAACUUCUGUAGACUGCCAUUUCAAAUGCCCAUUACUUCAAUAUCCUCCAUUGGGAACAACGGAUUCAACCCUUGCUUAGACAUCAUGUGCCUAGAAGAGACACAGAACAAAUAAGAUAGUAAAGUUAAUAACAACUUGACUUAUGGCUGCUGGAAUCUUGAUUAAGGAAAUCAUAUCAAUAUAUUGAGAAUCACGAUAUGUUGGAACAAAAUACCACAUCUAGAAUUAAGUCGUUCGAACAGCCAAGUAAAUCAUCGCCAUCGAUCGUUUUGACAGUAAGCUGGGGAGGAUGUACCACUUUAGUUACGGGUUCAAUUGGACUCAUAACUUUCGAAGUGAAUAAUAAAUUUAUGUGUAUAACGUCACUAAAAUUGCAAUAGAUAGUAGACAUGAAACCAUAACUUAACAAAUAUAAUAGAUGUAAUGCUAAAUACCUUAACACUUGAACCCAUAGAGUUUCAAUUCUGGAUCCGCCUCUAACAGUAAGGUAAGUCUUCGCUACAACUACAGUCGUUUGUGGUAACAACCAUCAAUAACAUUAUCAUCCUUCUCAAUCUUAGCCGUUAAAAAGGCUAUUGAAAAGUUCUUUUAUUUAUUUAUAUUCAAAAGGACGAAGGUAAAGACUCCAAUUCAAGGACUGCUACUCUAGAAUCUACCAUUAAUCUGAGAAGUCAUAUCUUCCGGUGAAUUUCUCAAAUGAAAAGCACCAAAUAUCCAUUUCUCUUGUCUUUAGUAAUUCAUAUUCUCCACUUUUGAGCUCAUUUUAAAAUCCCUGAAAGUAGAAAACAUAUGGAGAAGAAAAAAAAUAAGCAUCAGCAAGAAAACAAAAAAAUUGCAACACAAUAGGCAAUCUUUCAUCUUACAAUUCCCCUUUUUUUUUCUUUCUCUAAAGAAGAUCAAGUUGGUAACAAAGUCAUAUAUUGUGAUACAAUUACAAGCUCUCUUUAUAGAAGUGAUUACCUUUAAGGUCUUAAAGGAUUUAGAGAAAAGAACUUUAGCAAGACAAAGAGAAAAAGAUAUCAACAUGUCUUCUUCUAUUUUUCACUCUCACUCGUCCUUUCUCAAUUGGUGAAAUAGUAGAAAGAAUGUAAAGAUAGGAAGGCUAAAAGAUAUUUAGAAAAUUCAAAUCUUAAAAGUAAGGAAGAAUGUAUAUAAUAAUAGAAACUUGCCUGAAAAGGAAUGCGCCCUUGUUUCUUAUGUCACUAUUUAUUUUUCUGCAAUUAACAAAAGGCCAAAAAAUUAAAAUCUCCAAUCAGUUGAUGGUAAAAGUAUGCAGUCGACUUUUUGAUAAACAUUUCAAUCAAAUGAGUAGUAAAGUAUAUUGCACAUAUAGAUAUGUAGUUCAGUAGUUUUGUUUUCGCAUUGAAGACUGGGAUUAGUAAUUUACAAUGUGAUACAUGAUAGCACACAAAUGUAUGAAAGAAUAUAGAGAUUAGCAGGGAGUGAACGAAAUUUAAACUUUGGGGGAAAAAGAACAGGAAAAAGAAGAUAGAGAGGGUGGAGUAUAGAGAAAUUCGGCAAAAGUAGAGAGAAAUAGUGUUAAAAGAGAGAUGAAAGAGUAUGAAGUAUUUGGAAGGAUAUGGAAAGAGAGUAAAGAAUCAUUAUGGGAAUAAACUGAUGUGUAUGUGCAUGAAAAUAGGGAGUGAAGAAUCGAUGUGGGAAGGGACGGCUGGGUAUCUGAAUCGGUUUGUUAGCAUUAUGUAGAAAGAUAUGUUGUUCGGCAGUGAAAUAAAAGGCGAAAAACUAUAGAGGGGGAGAAAAUGCAUUUCCUGCUAAUUGGAAAUGCCAUGUAACUGAGUGUAUGUUCCUCUCUCUAUAUAUACAUUACAGAUUAUAAUAAAACUGACUUGCUCCAGGUAAGCGUGUCUUUUGGAGGGGGAGAAGAGGACUUGGAUAAUGGCGAGAAGGCAAUAGUACAAUAAAAUUGGUAAAUACAGCUCUUGGCCAUCAUAAUUAUGCCGUUGUAUUUUUUUUUUCUGAUCAUUAAAAUAUUGUAGCAAUGUUAAAUGCCUAUGCCACUUCAAACAGAACACAAAAGUGUAGAGAAGAUGGAAAAACUAUAUGAGUAAACUAUAACCUUCAUUGAGAGAUGUUGUUGUCGAACUUCGUUACCAAAAAAGAUAAUAGCAGUCCUUCAGAUAAAUAACUUCGUUCGUUAUUCAUUAGGCAAAUAAUAAUGGUAAUAGUAGUAUUUAAGAAUGUUUAGAGCAGUAGUUAUCAAUUUGUGCAGAAACAGUAGUUACGAAUUGUGCAUAAAUCGCAAUGGCGAAAAUUAUCUGGAGUGUACCUCAAUCUCGUAACAACGUUUUGUCUUCGCAAUCAUAGUGUCCCCACACCUAUAAAAUUAGAUUAGCCAAGUAUAUCAGUAUCUUUACCCUGCACAGGCUUAAAGCAUAGAUUUAUUUUUGGCUGCAUGUUAUUCUUAUAUUUGCGGUACAACAACAAUUGAAGCUACUUUCAUGCUUCCUAAUUAAAUGCAACAGUUGGAAUGUUGAGUCGACAGCAGUAGUUGCUGAUUCAAGGGGCAAGAAACAUCCAUUUUUCCCAAUAGAAUUAGAGUAGGCAAAUAUAAAUAUAUUAGUUACUCAUGGUAUUAAAAUUAUGUUGUUGUAAUUUUUUAAAAUAGAGUAGGCAAAUAAGAUUACAGUACAAUUGGGCGAACACAAGAAAAUUGAAAGAUAAAUGGAACUGAUGAAAAAAGAAUUACAAAAAAAACAAAUAGCAGUGAGGAGAAAAGAGAGCACUCGGCACAUUGGCACUUCGCAUAAAAGAAAAUACUCAAUUCACACACAACAUGGAGAACAAAUAAUUAAUUGGUAGCAUACAGAAGCACGAACACAAUUUCCAAGGUUCCAUUUUAUUCUCAUAAAGUACACAAAGAUAGAAGCUUUUUUUGCAGUUUAAAGAGAUGGAGGAGUACAAAGAAAGCGAAAGAGAUGGAGGAGUACAGAGAAAGUGAAAGGGAUGGAGGAGUACAGAGAAACUGAAAGAAAACAGAGUGUAAAGAAUCGGUGUGAAGACGCGGCUGUGCAUAUGAAGAGGUUUGUGUAUUUUUGAGGGGUUUUUUUGUUAUUAGCGCGGAGGGGAGUAUCACCUUUAAAAUGCUAAGCAAGUGUAGAGGCAGGAAACGGGAUUUCCUGCUGAAUGGGAGCGCCAAGUGACCGGGCUUAGGGCCCUCAGUUAUAUAUAUAUAUAUAUAUAUAUAUAUAUAUAUAUAUAUAUAUAUAUAUAUAUAUAUUAUUAAUUAUAUAUAUUGAAAGAAANNNNNGCGUCAAGUAGUACGGACGUUAGGUCCUCAGUUAUAUAUAUAUAUAUAUAUAUAUAUAAUUUACUGAAAAUAUAUUCAGGGAAAAUUUCAGGGAGGACAAGAAAUAGCAAUCAAAAGGUUAUCAGCCCAAUCAGGUCAAGGGAUAAAUGAAUUUAAGAAUGAAGUAGUAUUGAUUGCAAGACUUCAGCAUUGAAAUCUUGUUAGACUUUUUGGUUACUGCGUCCACGGGAAUGAAAAGAUCUUACUCUACGAAUAUAUGCCAAACAAAAGCUUAGACGCCCUCAUAUUUGGUAAGCACUCUUCGCGUAAGAUUAAUUCCUUAUUCUAAAUGUAAAUUGAACUUCUAUUCUUUUUUUAUUGAUAAUUACAAUCUUUUUGUAGGAUAACUACACAAGACGAAAGAUAUCAUGUGUUAUUAGAUUGGAAGAAGAGAUUUUCUAUCAUCUUGGGUAUUGCUCGAGGGCUUGUUUAUUUGCACCACGAUUCAAGGUUAAGGAUCAUUCAUAGAGAUUUAAAAACAAGCAAUGUAUUAUUAGAUAAAGAGAUGAACCCCAAGAUUUCAGAUUUUGGCUUAGCAAGGAUUCAAGGUUAAGGAUCAUUCAUAGAGAUUUAAAAACAAGCAAUGUAUUAUUAGAUAAAGAGAUGAACCCCAAGAUUUCAUAUUGUCCAAGGGAAUAAUAUGGAAGCAAAUACAAACAAAAUUGUUGGAACAUAGUAAGCUUAUCUUGUAUCGCAAAGAUUCUUAUAUUUAUACUUGACUACAUUUAGUCCAUCACUUCUCAAAUUUUGCGUAAUAUCAUUAAUUAUUUGGAGCUCUGCAGCGGUUACAUGUCUCCGGAAUAUGCAUUAAAUGGAUUAUUCUCAAUCAAGUCAGAUGUUUUCAGUUUUGGAGUAGUUAUGCUUGAGAUUAUCUGCGGUAAGAAAAAUAUAGGAUUUUAUCAGCAGGAGGAAGCCUUAAACCUCCUAGGUUAUACAACAACAACAACAACCCAGGAAAAUCCCACAAGUGGGGUCUGGGGAGGGUAGUAUGUACGCAGACCUUACCCCUACCCCAAAGGAGUAGAGAGGUUGUUUCUGAAAGACCCUCGGCUCAAGAUAAUAAGAAAAACAAGAAAAACAAAAAGGGGGAAUAUUAGUUUUACCAUAGAGAUCAUAGGACAAAUAGGAACCUAAAAUGCAUAAGAAAAAUACAAGGCUGAAAUGAUGGCUAGUAAAUAGAUCUAGCACCGAAAAGAGAAAAUAUUAAGACACGACAAUGCCCCUAGUAAUUUUCGAUUCAAACCUUACCAAACUAGGCUCACAAUGGAAUAAAGUAUUGCAAGACUCAACUAGCUCCUAGCCUACAACUGUAAUACUCGACCUCCACAAAUUUCUAUCAAGUGUCAUGUCCUCGGAAAUCUGAAGUCUCGCCAUAUCCUGCCUGAUCACUUCUCCCCAAUACUUCUUAGGCCGCCCUCUACCUCUUCUCGUGCCUUCCACAACCAGCCGUUCACACCUCCUCACUGGAGCAUCUGGGCUUCUCCUCAUUACAUGCCCGAACCAUCUGAGCCGCGCUUCUCGUAUCUUGUCAUCAAUGGGAGCCACGUGCACCUUCUCCCGAAUAUCAUCAUUUCUAAUCUUGUCCAUCCUGGUGUGCCCGCACAUCCACCUCAACAUUCUCAUUUCAGCUACUUUCAUCUUAUGUGAGAUCUUAACAGGCCAACACUCUGCCUCAUACAUCAUGGCCGGUCUAACCACCGCUUUAUAGAACUUACCUUUGAGUAUUGUUGGCACUCUUUUGUCACACAAAACUCCGGAUGCUAACCUCCACUUCAUCCAUCCUACCCCAAUACAGUGUGCGACAUCUUCAUCAAUCUCCCCUCCCCCAUGGAUAACUGACCCAAGGUACUUGGAGCUUCCUCUACUCGGGAUAACCUGUGAUUCAAGCCUCACACCCACGCCCACUUUCCCCAGAUCAGUGCUGAAAAUACACUCCAAGUAUUCCGUCUUCGUUCUACUCAGCUUGAAACCUUUAGACUCAAGAGUAUGUCUCCAAACUUCUAGUCUCUCGUUAACACCAGUUCGUGACUCAUCGAUCAGAACUAUGUCAUCGGCAAAUAGCAUGCACCAUGGCACCUCCCCCUGUAUAUGGUUUGUUAACACAUCCAUCACCUGGGCGAAUAAGAAUGGACUGAGCGCAGAGCCUUGGUGUAACCCCAUUUCAACCGGAAAGUGCUCAGAGUCGCCUCCUACCGUCCUAAUCUGAGUCUUAGCCCCAUCAUACAUGUCCCUAAUUGCUAUAAUAUAGGGAAUCGGCACACUUUUUGCCUCCAAGCAUCUCCAUAGAACUUCUCUAGGAACCUUGUGGUACGCUUUCUCCAAGUCAAUAAACACCAUGUGCAAAUCCUUCUUUCUCUCUCUGUACAGUUCCACCAACCUCCUAACAAGGUGUAUAGCUUCUGUGGUUGAACGACCCGGCAUGAACCCGAACUGGUUGUCUGAUAUAGACACUGUUAUCCUCACCCUUGCUUCAACGACCCUCUCCUAUACUUUCAUGGUAUGACUCAGUAAUUUGAUACCCCUAUAAUUAUUACAACUCUGGAUAUCACCUUUGUUCUUGUACAAUGGGACCACCGUACUCCACCUCCACUCGUCUGGCAUCCUCUUUGCCUUGAAAAUAAUAUUGAACAGCCCAGUCAACCACUCUAAACCUGCUCUCCCUACGCCCUUCCAAAAUUCCACUGGAAGGUUAUGUGAGUGAAAAUUUGUAAACUUUAAGUCCUCUUUGUUUUUUGUUUUUUUACGUGUCUUUUUUAUAAUAUUCAGUUUGGUAAUGAUGUUUCCUUUUUUCCUAACUCUAAAGUUACAUUUCAGGCAUAGAGAUUAUGGAAUGAAGGAAAUAUUGUGAGUUUGCUUGAUAAAUCUUUACUUGAAUCAUGCAACGAAGAAGAUGCAUGGAAAUGCAUUAAUAUCGCGCUCUUGUGUGUACAAGAAGAUGCUAGUGUUCGUCCAAGCAUGCCAGAUGUAAUUAUAAUGCUUAGUCGUCAAGGCAUUUCUCUUGCAAAAACUAGUAAACCUGCUUUUACAACAAGAAAAGCAUGCUUGUAUGUCUUUAGCAGUGUCAAACACCAUAACACUAUUUGCUAUGUCUUUAGACAAUGAAUUUGUUAACCAUGCAAUUACCAUGUCGUUGCAUCUUUCCCAAAAGGAGUAAUAAGGAGAGUUAGUUAGAGGUUUAGUGACUUUUCCUGUUAUGAUCCCUAGUUUGUUUUUAGCGGAGAGAACAGUAAGCAUAUUAUUACACCAAAUAACAAAACCAUUCCCAUCGAAAGGUGGAGACACUAAGUGUGCUCCAGGACUAUCAGAUGGAUGAACAUAGAAUGGGUAAGAUGGAUGUACAGUGAAGUCAUCAAAUCCAUCUAUCACAGAGGAAGGACUAGCAUCUGGACUUCCCAUGAUUUAACCCUAAAUUUGUAAAAUUUCUAAAAUUGAUACAAGAAACGCUCGAUUUUUACCAAUAUGUAGCAGGAUUGAGAAGAAUGUUACCAUCCUUCUUUGCAACCUAAAGAAGGUGAGGCCUUGAGAUCGAUAAUAUCGCUGAAAUUGCUGAAAUCAGCGGGAAUGAAGAAAUACCGGAGCAGAGUACCGGAGAACGGAGAUGACCAAAAUUACUGUAGGAAGCUCCAAAUAGCUGCAACAUAGAGUCAAAAAGCACCCUACCCCAAAGCUUCACUUCAAAUAUGACGACAAAUAGGAUCGACAGAACCGAAAAACUUCAUGGAAAUCGAUGAGGGUACCAUCGAUCGAAAGAGGAGAUCAAGGAUCAUCGAUUCCUUGCUCUGAUACCAUGUUAAUGGUAGAAAAUCGAGCUAUGAGAAAGAAUUUUGUGAAAAGAAACCCUAGAAUUGGAAAGAGAAGAGAGAGAACUUUUAUUUCAUUGUUGAUGUCUCUAGAAAAUACAGAAUGCCAGUCAACCUUUCUAGACUAUUC